This 497-nucleotide ribosomal RNA is filed under the name uncultured bacterium. Its description in RNAcentral is "partial 16S ribosomal RNA". It matches the Rfam family "Bacterial small subunit ribosomal RNA", at positions 28 to 507 of the family's 1533-position model. The record is from RNAcentral.
GAUGAACGCUGGCGGCGUGCCUAAUACAUGCAAGUCGAGCGAACAGACGAGGAGCUUGCUCCUCUGACGUUAGCGGCGGACGGGUGAGUAACACGUGGAUAACCUACCUAUAAGACUGGGAUAACUUCGGGAAACCGGAGCUAAUACCGGAUAAUAUAUUGAACCGCAUGGUUCAAUAGUGAAAGACGGUUUUGCUGUCACUUAUAGAUGGAUCCGCGCCGCAUUAGCUAGUUGUUAAGUUAACGGCUUACCAAGGCAACGAUGCGUAGCCGACCUGAGAGGGUGAUCGGCCACACUGGAACUGAGACACGGUCCAGACGCCUACGGGAGGCAGCAGUAGGGAAUCUUCCGCAAUGGGCGAAAGCUUGGCGGAGCAACGCCGCGUGAGUGAUGAAGGUCUUCGGAUCGUAAAACUCUGUUAUUAGGGAAGAACAAAUGUGUAAGUAACUAUGCACGUCGUGACGGUACCUAAUCAGAAAGCCACGGCUAACUACGUG